UUAAAGGGCUGCAGUAUAUUGACUGUACAAAGGUAGCAUAAUCAUUAGUCAUUUAAUUGAUGACUUGUAUGAAAGAUUGGAUGAAAUAUAAGCUGUCUCUUAAUUAUAUUUAGAAUUUAAUUUUUUAAUUAAAAAGUUAAAAUAAAUUAGAAAGACGAGAAGACCCUAUAGAGUUUUAUAGGUAAAAUUAAUUGAGAUUAUUUUUAAAGGUUAAAAUUAAGAUUAAUUUAUUUAUUUUGUUGGGGUGACAGAAAAAUAUGAGAAACUUUUUAUAUGUUUAAAACAUUAAUAAGUGGUUAAAUGAUCCAGUAUUAUUGAUUAUAAGAAAAAAUUACCUUAGGGAUAACAGCGUAAUUUUUUUUUUUAGUUCAUAUAAAAAAAAAAGUUUGCGACCUCGAUGUUGGAUUAAGAUAAAAUUUAAAUGCAGAAG
Molecule: ribosomal RNA, 430 nt
Filed under: Sesamia nonagrioides (Mediterranean corn borer)
Lineage: Eukaryota; Metazoa; Arthropoda; Insecta; Lepidoptera; Noctuidae
Description: partial 16S ribosomal RNA
Source: RNAcentral